Molecule: ribosomal RNA, 706 nt
Filed under: uncultured soil bacterium
Lineage: Bacteria
Description: bacterial SSU rRNA
Rfam family: Bacterial small subunit ribosomal RNA
Source: RNAcentral
GCUGGCGGCGUGCCUCAGACAUGCAAGUCGAACGCGAAAGUCUCCUUCGGGGGACAAGUAGAGUGGCGCACGGGUGAGUAACACGUAGGUAAUCUACCUUCGGAUGGGGAAUAACAACCGGAAACGGUUGCUAAUACCGCAUAAUGCAGCGGCACCUAAUGGUGACAGUUGUUAAAGCGGGGGAUCGAAAGACCUCGCGUCUGAAGAGGAGCCUGCGGCGGAUUAGCUAGUUGGUAAGGUAACGGCUUACCAAGGCGACGAUCCGUAGCCGGCCUGAGAGGGCGGUCGGCCACACUGACACUGACAUACGGGUCAGACUCCUACGGGAGGCAGCAGUCGGGAAUUUUGGGCAAUGGGCGAAAGCCUGACCCAGCAACGCCGCGUGAAGGAUGAAAUCCCUCGGGAUGUAAACUUCGCAAGAACGGGAAGAAUAAGUAGGGGACAAUACCCCCUAUGAUGACGGUACCGUUUGUAAGCUCCGGCUAACUCCGUGCCAGCAGCCGCGGUAAUACGGGGGGAGCAAGCGUUGUUCGGAUUUACUGGGCGUAAAGGGCGCGUAGGCGGCCAGCGCAAGUCAGUUGUGAAAUCUCCGAGCUUAACUCGGAAAGGUCAACUGAUACUGCGCGGCUAGAGUGCGGAAGGGGCAACUGGAAUUCUUGGUGUAGCGGUGAAAUGCGUAGAUAUCAAGAGGAACACCUGCGGCGAA